RNAcentral lists this long non-coding RNA (613 nucleotides) under Mus musculus (house mouse). RNAcentral's name for it is "long non-coding RNA chr7:101836750-101837363". Lineage: Eukaryota; Metazoa; Chordata; Mammalia; Rodentia; Muridae. The record is from RNAcentral.
AUGGCCCACGCAGGGCUCAGCGCCGCCGAUGCCUGCCGCUCCGCGCCAUCCGCCCGGGGAAGCUUGAAGUCGAGGUUGGGCCCGGGUCCCGGGACUAAGGAUCCACCAGCCCGAGAGAACCCAGUAUGUGGGUUCCACGCUUGGCCGCGCCAACCGCCUGGAUCUCCGCGCAGCCGCCGCCGCCCGCAGCGCCGGCCUCAACUUGAAGAGAAAGAAAAGUUUGUUCAGAGGCGGCGGGGGAGGGGCGGGAACGGAGCUAGGAGCUGGCCGGUCCCCUCCCCCUCCACUCGGCCCAGAGCCCGGGCCGCCCCUGCCCCCAGCCUCUCUCGGCAAGGACGAUGCUCCGACAGCCCUACAGGACCCGCAAGACCAGCACCUCCCAAGUCCCACAAUUAUUUUGUCCCCCCACCUCAAGAAGAUCCAGUUCCCCGGUACCCGCUCCGGGACAACUUGUGAGUCCAAGUUCUCGCUGGUGAAUUCAAUCCUUCCAACGAUUCGCAAUGAGAUGACCCCUAAUCCCUAUGCAAAUCUGAUUCUACUACACACAUCUCUUCUACUCGGCACCCCCACAGCCUUGCGGGAUCAAGGUUCGGAAAGCAAGGCUCCAGGAUAG